AAUGGAAAAGGUUCAUAUAUGCUAGUGAACUAUGCAGAUUAGGACAGAUAUGCCCAUCGUUAAUAGUUUGGCACAAAUAUGCCCAAUCCGUUCAAUACUUGGUCAUUCAUGCCCUUAGUUUAACGGAACUACUAUUUUGUGUACUUAAAUAAUUAAUACCCUGACCCAACCAAAAUAUGCGGACCCGAUCUAUUAGGCUUUGACCCAACCUUAUUUCAAAGAUAUUUUUGGAUAUAUUACUUUUUUUUGAUUGAGAAAUUAUGUGAUAAUCAUAUUUAUUUAUUUUAGUAAUUUGAUAAUUGAUUUGUUUUUUGUUAUACAUCAUUUCUGGAAGUAAUCCUACUAAAAGUAGUAAUUGAUAUUUAUCUAUUAUUAUUAUUAUUAUUAUAAUAUAAUAUUCGAAUAUUUUUUGUACUUUCUUCAAUCAUUUUACCAUCUAUUUUAUUUUUCUCACAAUUUAUUUGUAUUUUUAACCCAUCCGUUUUUAUUAAUUAAUUAUUUCAUAAAUAAAAAUACACAGCCAAUCCUGUAUCAAUCAGAACAGUCUGUAAAUGUUUAUUUCAUGUUUGUUGCGUCUCAAUUAUGACUAGCCAAUCCUGUAGGAGAAUUAUUCAUCCACUCGUUUGGCUGCAGCAACGUUCACGAAAACAAAUUGAAUGGAAUGAUUCCACCUGCCUUUCAGAAGCUCGAAAGCAUGACUUAUCUGUAGACUAUAAGUUCUUACUCUCUGGUUUAACGUCAACAACGUUAAAUUAUGUAUUUUUAUUUAUGAGAUAAUCAAUUAAGAAAUAAGGAUUGAUGAAAAAUACAAAUAGUUUGUGUGAAAUAUAAAAAAUAGAUAGUAAAAUGAUCGAAUAAAACACAAACUAAUUCGAAUAUUAUGUUAUUAAAAUAAUAAAUAAAUAUCAAUUACUACUUUUAGUAGGAUUACUUCCCGAAAUAAUGUAUAACAAAAAAAAAUCAAUAUUCAAAUAAAUUAAUAUGAUUAUCACACAAUUUCUCAAACAAACAUAAUAUGUCAAAAAGAUUUUUGAAAUAAGGGUGGGUUGGGUCCUAACGGAUCAGGUCAGCACAUUUUGGUUGGAUCCGGUUAUUAAUUAUUUAAGAAAGACAAAAUAGUGGUUCCGCUAAACUAAGGGCAUGAAUGACCAAGUAUUGGACGUAUUGGGCAUAUAUGUGCCAAACUAUUAACGACGGCAUAUCUGUCCUAAUUCGCAUAGUUCACUAGCAUAUAUGGUCCUUAAGGGGAUUUGACUUUAUAUAGUAUUAAAAUAUGAGAGAAACAAGUGUAAUUUUCUGCUGUUGGUUAAAGGUGGCUACGCCACUAUACUUUACAACAACAACAACAAAUUUAGUGUAAUCUCACAGGUGAAGGGAGACUGUUUCUUAUAGACCCUUGUCUCCCUCAUGACUAUAGAAUGUUGUAUGGCCUCUAGAAUAUUUUACUUCUUCCCUCUCCCCCUUCAUGUGGUAUUAUUCACUUUUUUCUGACAAUUAUGUUUGGUUUAUUACAAGAUUAAUACCAAUGUAUGUUGCUCCUGUUGUAGCCUAACUUGGCUACUCUGAAGUUUAACUAGCUAGAAUAAAUCCGUAGAAGGCCUUCAAAGCGAAAACCAUAUAUUUUCUUGACAGACUUAAAGUUUUAUAAGCAGAAAAGUGUAAUUUGUUUUUUUACAGUAUUAGGUCUUUUAAAAGGCAACUACAUGUAAAUUGUGUAUGUUAUCGAUUGUCCGUGUUCAAAGCAACGAGAAACUGGAAACCAGUAAGAAGAAGAG
Molecule: long non-coding RNA, 1775 nt
Filed under: Nicotiana benthamiana
Lineage: Eukaryota; Viridiplantae; Streptophyta; Magnoliopsida; Solanales; Solanaceae
Description: long non-coding RNA (NBEN_LNC003348)
Source: RNAcentral